Molecule: ribosomal RNA, 237 nt
Filed under: uncultured soil bacterium
Lineage: Bacteria
Description: partial 16S ribosomal RNA
Rfam family: Bacterial small subunit ribosomal RNA
Source: RNAcentral
AGAUUGAACGCUGGCGGCAUGCCUUACACAUGCAAGUCGAACGGCAGCACGGGGGCAACCCUGGUGGCGAGUGGCGAACGGGUGAGUAAUGCAUCGGAACGUGCCCAGUAGUGGGGGAUAACUAGUCGAAAGAUUAGCUAAUACCGCAUACGACCUAUGGGUGAAAGCGGGGAUUCGCAAGAACCUCGCGCUAUCGGAGCGGCCGAUGUCUGAUUAGCUAGUUGGCGGGUAAAGCCC